Molecule: ribosomal RNA, 588 nt
Filed under: uncultured bacterium
Lineage: Bacteria
Description: bacterial SSU rRNA
Rfam family: Bacterial small subunit ribosomal RNA
Source: RNAcentral
UCCUACGGGAGGCAGCAGUAGGGAAUCUUCCGCAAUGGACGAAAGUCUGACGGAGCAACGCCGCGUGAGCGAAGAAGGCCUUCGGGUCGUAAAGCUCUGUUGUAAGGGAAGAACAAGUGCCAUUUAACUGAUGGCACCUUGACGGUACCUUACGAGAAAGCCACGGCUAACUACGUGCCAGCAGCCGCGGUAAUACGUAGGUGGCAAGCGUUGUCCGGAUUUAUUGGGCGUAAAGCGCGCGCAGGCGGUCCUUUAAGUCUGAUGUGAAAGCCCACGGCUCAACCGUGGAGGGUCAUUGGAAACUGGGGGACUUGAGUGCAUAAGAGGAAAGUGGAAUUCCACGUGUAGCGGUGAAAUGCGUAGAGAUGUGGAGGAACACCAGUGGCGAAGUCGACUUUCUGGUCUGUAACUGACGCUGAGGCGCGAAAGCGUGGGGAGCAAACAGGAUUAGAUGCCCUGGUAGUCCACGCCGUAAACGAUGAGUGCUAAGUGUUAGGGGGUUUCCGCCCCUUAGUGCUGCAGCUAACGCAUUAAGCACUCCGCCUGGGGAGUACAGCCGCAAGGCUGAAACUCAAAGGAAUUGACGGA